RNAcentral lists this unclassified non-coding RNA (212 nucleotides) under Hevea brasiliensis (rubber tree). The record is from RNAcentral. Lineage: Eukaryota; Viridiplantae; Streptophyta; Magnoliopsida; Malpighiales; Euphorbiaceae.
CUGCCAUCUCAAUUAUGCAAAGUCAAAUUCCAGAAUAUCCUGCUUCUUGGGAUUGUCCAAACCUACAAACAUUGUUGUUAAGAGAAAACUGCAAUUCGCAAUUGGCUAUGCUAGGAGGAGUCCUCAAAGGGAUGAAAACCCUUAAAGUUGUUGAUCAGAGAAGCAAUUUACCUUUUCCUUUUGAAGAAUCAAUUCCCCACAUCUCACUUGGU